RNAcentral lists this ribosomal RNA (207 nucleotides) under uncultured bacterium. RNAcentral's name for it is "partial 16S ribosomal RNA". It matches the Rfam family "Bacterial small subunit ribosomal RNA", at positions 568 to 774 of the family's 1533-position model. The record is from RNAcentral.
UGCGUAGGCGGCUCGGUAAGUCUGGAGUGAAAGUCCUGCUUUUAAGGUGGGAAUUGCUUUGGAUACUGUCGGGCUUGAGUGUAGGAGAGGUUAGUGGAAUUCCCAGUGUAGCGGUGAAAUGCGUAGAGAUUGGGAGGAACACCAGUGGCGAAGGCGACUAACUGGACUGUAACUGACACUGAGGCUCGAAAGCCAGGGUAGUGAACG